Engraulis encrasicolus (European anchovy) is the source of this 320-nucleotide long non-coding RNA. RefSeq lists it as uncharacterized. The record is from RefSeq and is a predicted model, not a curated record. The transcript is spliced from 3 exons. NCBI's taxonomy places the organism in Eukaryota, Metazoa, Chordata, Actinopteri, Clupeiformes, Engraulidae.
UCCACACACAGUCGCCAGCCAGACUCCCCACCACAGUGACACAAACCAACCAGCCGCCUCGAGAGGUUGCUGAAGAGGUAUGCAGCGAUGGUCUGGAGGAAAAAUAGUCACAUGGACUGGUGUGCAUUCCAGUACUUGAAAUGAUGCUGUUGCUCAGGCACAUCCAGGUGCGAGGAUGGGGGAGAUCCGGAUGUCGCUAAAUAAAAGAAUCUGUGAACUGCUUCACCAAGAGAAAAAGAAGUCCAUGGACAGGCCUAUGAGCCCUCUUGUUGACCUUGAGUGACUGAGGCUGCGGGCGGUCUGCCCCUGAAUUCACCUUC